GGAAGUAGCCCCUUGAGACUAUUUGUACUUUUUUUUUUUCAAACAGUGGGGCUCCAGAGCCUGUACAUGUUGCUGGGUGUGCAGUAAACACACAGAAAACAGUAUAUGCCCACCCUGCUCGUGAGGAGGGAGUUGCUGAGUCUACACUCUGUGCCAUCUACCAUGCAAUUCACCACAGUAAUUUCGAAUAGCUUCUUGGGUCUUGCAUCAUUUGUGAAAGUGAAGCAAACCUUCCUCUACUGUACAGAGACUGCAAGCACACCAAGGGGAGUUUCUGGACAGCUAGAGGACAUCUGAGGAGCACGGCUAAGCCUCAAACCCUCCUUAGGACUACUGUGAACCCCUAUACUUCUGCAGCUACAGUUCCCAAAUUUCUGGGCUCCAUCCCAACAAAAUGUCUAGAAAAAUUUGCUCUAUUUUUGAUCCUCGUUUUUUUUUUGUUUUGUUUUUUUUUUUUUUUCCUCAUUUCAGAACAGUGAUGGCUUUUCCAGGUAAAGCAUCUUGUUACCUUAUAAGUUUCAUUAAAUAGAUGGCCUUUGAACUAGACCUUGCAGAAUGGGUAAAAUUUAUUUUGGAAAAGAAGUGAAAGAGGGCUAUCAGAGAGUGUUUUCAUGAAUGUAUAAGCCUGGAAUCUGGAUGUCUUUGAUAAGGAGCGAUAAAAGGGUACAUUUGGGUGUGGAUUAAUUCACUUACUCAGUAUAUACAUAUAUAUAGAAACCACAAUUUGAUACAGGAAAUAUAGCAAAGGAUUAGACCUGGUCCAGCUCUCAUGAUGUUCAGAGACAGUGAUGGUUCCGGGGGCAGAGAGACGCAGUGGACAUCAAGAGGUGGGCUAAUUCAUUAUUUGAAGAAUCUUCAAUGACACACAAAGGAGUUUGAAUUUUAUCCCAUCACUACUUAUAACAGCACUUUUUUUGACACUAAUCACAUGCUGGGCAGUAUUCACUAUUUAUUAUUGUAACAACCUUAUGGUAUAGAGAGAUAUUUUACUGACAGGGAGACUGAAGCAUGGAGUAGGUACCUAACUUGGCUAAGGACUCAGAGCUAAUAAGAGGUAGAGUCAGGAUUGAGUCCAGGUAUUUUGGCUUCAGAGUCUAUAGUCUUAUCAUUUGUAAAUAUAUAAUAUGUGGCUAAAGCGAAGCUUUUUUAUAUGAAAAAAGUAAAACAAGGUUAAUGAUGUUGGGAAAAAUCAUUGGAAGAUGCAGCAGUGUGUAUCAGAGCCUGGACUAGACUCCACAAGGCUUUAGGUCCAUUGCUGCUUCUGCUCCACAUAGAGUGUGCACUAGUGUGCAAAAACUUUGUGGAUGCACUUGGAUAAAUUAAGAGAAAUAUGUUUACACUACAAGAGGUGGUAAUGCUGCAGUCCUCUUUUUUUUUUUUUUUUUUUUUCCUUUCUGCUUUUUAGGACCAAACCCAUGGCAUAUGGAAGUUUUCAGGCUAGGGAUUGAGUCGGAGCUGUAGAUGCCAGCGUACGCCACACCCAUCACCAGAUCCGAGCCAUGUGUUUGACCUACACCACAGCUCACAACAAUGCCAGAUCCUUAACCCACUGAGCAGAGCCAGGUUCAAAACUUGGAUUCAUUUCUGCAGUGCCACAAGGCUUGCUGCAUUCUUUUGUGCUGGUGAGACUAAUAGUGAGCAGUGAGAGGGUUCAGUUGUGUCUGUCUUCCUCUCCGAAUACAUCAGCUGGGGCCCAAAGUUAACAUAUCCAAAGGUAGAAAUGGUUUGUUUUUGUUGUUCCAAGCAAGGUCAAACUUGCAGAAAGGUGCGUUUGGUUGGGUGAGGAUGACCCAGCUAUCUCGAUGUCCUUUUACUAAUCACGGCAUACGAGGUGGUAGAGUCACAAAAUACCUCAUCGUCAGCUGCCUUAGAGACUAGCUUGACCUCCCCCAGGACUCGAUCUACUGUGAAAUGCAUUCAGGCACAGGGAAUAUCAGUGCAAAAACCCCAGGAUUUAUUCCUCACUAAAAGGUGGCUUGGAGGGAUGUCACACGUAGAAAGUGGACUGAUUCAUUUCCACUCCCAGCAUUGUUUCAAUCGAGCUUGGCACAAAGAUGAUCAAUGCUGACUCAGAGCUAUGUCCAGAUGGAGAGAGAGCCUUCUAAACUAUCACAUCCAACCCAGUCCUGGUCUACCACUCCCCCUCGAGUCUCUAGAAUCCUCACUGUCCUAUCUAUAGGGUGCACCCAUUCCAGAGGAUAAGACUCCACUCAUAUUUGGUCCUUUGCCUUCCCAGCAGGACCCCAAAACCCCCUCACCCUUUCGUCUAUGCAGACUGGCACAGAAGAAAUGAUUCUGAAAAAUAAACUAGCUAAUCAUUAGAUGAAAGCA
RNAcentral lists this long non-coding RNA (2331 nucleotides) under Sus scrofa (pig). Its description in RNAcentral is "lncRNA (ENSSSCG00035055250.1)". The record is from RNAcentral. Lineage: Eukaryota; Metazoa; Chordata; Mammalia; Artiodactyla; Suidae.